UUUUUUUUUGUUUUUUUGUUUUUUUAAAGAAAGAAAUUAAACAUGCAUGAGACAAAUGCAAUAACACAGAAAAGAACAUAAGAGAACUUCAUCUAGAGUUGGGUGGUGACAUAGUCACCUAUGUUAGAGUAUAUUGACUUAGGAGUCAAGUGAGAACACUUGAUCAUGGGUCAUACUCAUCGUUUAAGCUCAAAAUGGGGUUACCAUUUUUCUUUUAAGCAUCUUGAUGUAUUCACAUCUUGUUGAGUUGCUUUGACUCAUGUCUUGGAGUAAAGCUUCUCUAAGAUGGAAUAACAUACCUUGGGUGGUGGUGUGGUUCUUGCUCAUGUAGUUGAACUUGUGUGGGUGCUCAAGGUUGAUGUAGCUCAUCAAGAGUUGGGAGCACCACUUGGAGUUUGAGUUCAUCUACCUACAUGGGUUAGUUAUUGCAAGGAAGAGCACUUGUGUAUUCAAAAAUGACAAUCAUGAAGCUCAACAUAGAAUUUGUCAAAGGAUAUGUUUGAAUGGUUUUGUGCUUCCUUGUCUUCAACCACCAUUGUGUAGAGUCUUGGUGAUGUAGAGAUUGCUCAAGAUGUGAGUGAGUCGCAAUCUCAUGGAAUUAGAUUCAACCAAGCUCCUACAUGGGUUAGACAACAUGCAAGGUGCAAAUAUAUCCAAGACAUAAGAUAGUUAUCAUAAGAGAUAUAUCAUGGAUUAGUCAUAAGAUCAUGUCUUGCAUGUAUCCAAUGGAGUUUCUACUCCAAGUUCGAAGCAUCAAUGAUGUUCAAUUCUCCUCUCAACCUGCAAAACACUUUCUCAUCAAGUGGUUUAGUAAAUAUAUCCGCUAAUUGCUUAUCGGUGCGAACGUGCUUAUGAUGGCACUUUCAUUGUCACAAAGCAGUGGAACAUGUUUCACAUAAAUCCCAUAAUCUUUAAGAGUUUGGGUCAUCCAAAGUAAUUGAGCACAACAUGAACCAGCAGCAAUGUAUUCCGCUUCGGCGGUUGAUAAGGAUACCGAGUUUUGUUUCUUGUAAGACCAAGACACAAGAGAUCUACCAAGAAAUUGACAAGUACCCGAAGUGGACUUUCUAUCAACCUUGUCUCCGGCAUAAUCCGAGUCGGAAUAGCCAACAAGAUCAAAAGAAGACCUCUUAGGAUACCAAAUGCCAAAAUUUGGUGUAUGGAUUAAAUAUCUCACUAUCCUUUUCACAGCCUUAAGAUGACAUUCUUUAGGAGCAGCUUGAUAUCGUGCACACAUGCACACACUUAGCAUAAUAUCGGGACAUGAAGCACAUAGGUAUAACAAUGAACCAAUCAUAGAGCGAUAAACCUUUUGAUCAACCGGUUCACCAUCUUUGGUCAAAUCAUUAUGUCCACUAGUAGGCAUGGGUGUAGACAUACCUUUGCAUUCUUGCAUAUUGAACUUCUUGAAUAAGUCCUUGGUGUACUUUGUUUGAGAGACAAAUGUACCUUCCUUAGUUUGCUUGAUUUGAAAACCGAGAAAGAAUUUGAGUUCACUCAUCAUAGACAUCUCAAACUUCUCUGACAUUAGAUUUCCAAACUUUUCACUAAAGAGAGGGUUAGUUGAACCAAAUAUGAUAUCAUCAACAUAAAUUUGGCAUACAAAUAGUUCUCCAUUAACCCUUUUAGUAAAAAGAGUAGAAUCAAUUUUACCAAUUUCAAAACCACUUGUAAUAAGGAACUUGGUCAAGCAUUUAUACCAUGCUCUAGGAGCUUGUUUAAGACCAUAAAGAGCUUUGUGAAGUUUGUAAACAUGAUUUGGUUUCUUAGGAUUGAUAAAGCCGGGAGGUUGUUUGACAUAAACUUCCUCCUCUAUUUCACCAUUUAGAAAAGCACUUUUAAUGUCCAUUUGGUACAAGGUGAUAUUAUGGUGAUUAGCAUAGGCAAGUAAGAUGCGAAUGGACACAAGUCUAGCAAUGGGAGCAUAUGUCUCACCAUAGUCCAUACCUUCGACUUGUGUGUACCCUUGGGCGACGAGACGUGCUUUGUUGCGAACCACUUGUCCAUCUUCAUCUUGCUUGUUGCGAAACACCCAUUUGGUACCAAUGAUGUUGUGAUUGUUGUCCGGCUUCUCAACCAAUGUCCAAACUUGGUUUCUCUCAAAAUUGUGUAGCUCUUCAUGCAUAGGGUUUAUCCAAUCCGGAUCUUCCAAUGCUUCUUCAACCUUCAUAGGUUCAAUACUAGAGAUGAAUGAAUAGUUUUCACAAAAGUUAGCUAAACGAGUUUUUGAGCGAGUGAUUCUCCCGAUUUGUAUAUCAUUGAGGAUUUGCUCGACGGGAUGAUCUUUGGCAAUUCUUGCUCGAACUCGUGAGAGCUUUUGCUUGGGUAUUUGUUGAACAUCUUCUUCUUCUUGUUCUUCUUCUUGGCCUUCUUCAUUGUUGACGUCGUCGUUCUCUUGUCGUGGUGGAGAAAGAGGUUGUUGAUGUUCGUCUUGAUGCAUUUCCUUGUCUUCUUCAUCUUGGUGUGUCCCACUUGUGGAUGCUUCCGUGUCGAUUCUUGGUUCACCUUGUCGUGAAGUAGAAGCUUCCACUUGGACGGAUGAAUUACUCUCCUUCACCUCCGUUGGGCGAAUUUUGCCAAUGGACAAGUCUUGGAUUGCUUCUGAAGGGUCUUUAUCUCCUACAUCAAUUGGCAAUUGCUCUACUUGCGAGCCAUUAGAUUCAUCAAACUUCACAUCUACCGUCUCUUCAACCUUCCGGGUGAAAUUGUUGUAGACACGGUAAGUGUGAGAGUUUGAGCCAUAACCAAGUAGAAAACCUUCAUGAGAUUUAGGAGCAAACUUUGAACGACGAUGCUUGUCAAGAAUGUAGCACUUUGAGCCGAAUACUCGAAAGUAUCCAACUUGGGGUUUGUUACCGGUGAGGAGCUCGCAUGCCGUCUUGCCGAGUAGCUUGUGAAGAUACAAGCGAUUUGUUGCGUGACAAGCUGUCUCAACCGCUUCUGCCCAAAAGUGCUUCGGCGUCUUGUAUUCAUCAAGCAUCGUUCUUGCCAUUUCGAUGAGCGUCCGGUUCUUCCUCUCAACAACUCCAUUUUGUUGACGUGUGUACGUAGCCGAGAACUCGUGUGAAAUCCCUUCUUCGUCAAGGAAGGUGUCCACAUUUGUGUUCUUGAACUCCGUUCCGUUGUCACUCCGAACCUUCUUGAUCUUCAUGUCAAACUAAUUUUGGGCCUUCCUAGCGAAGUUUCUGAAGAUCUUCUGGACCUGUGACUUGUCACUAAGAAAGAACACCCACGUAAAUCUUGAAAAAUCAUCAACUAUAACUAGACCAAAAGAAUUUCCACCGAGACUCUUGUAGGCGUUGGGACCAAAAAGAUCCAUAUGAAGUAGCUCGAGUGGCCUUCUUGUGGUCAUGAUGUUCUUCACGGGAUGCCUUCCUCCAACCUAUUUACCUGCUUGACAAGCACUGCAAAGUCUAUCCUUAUCAAAUAUGACAUCGUUAACUCCAAGGAUAUGAUUUCCUUUAAUAAGCUUGUCAAGGUUUCUCAUGCCAACGUGACCUAGUCGUCUAUGCCACAACCAACCUUUUGAGGAUUUAGCAAUAAAGCAAGUUUUAGGUUGAGCCUUUUUAGAGAAAUCGACAAUGUAAAGAUCACCUCUAUGCAUACCGGUAAAGACCAUUUUAUAAUUGUCUCGACGAAAAACUUGGCAAUCUACCUCAGUAAAUAGGACAUUCAAACCGAAAUCAGCAAGUCUAGAUAGUGAAAGUAAGUUGUAGCCGAGUGAUUCAACGAGCAUGACAUUUUGAAUGGAACUAUCAUGUGAGAUGGCCACCUUACCAAGGCCAACCACUUUACCCUUUGAGUUAUCACCAAAGGUGACAUAUUUCCGAGGGCCGUCAUUUUCAGCAAUCUCACGGAACAUCUCUUCAUCUCCAGUCAUAUGAUCAGUACAUCCACUAUCAAGAACCCAUUCCUUUCCUCCUGACGCAUAUCCCUGAAGAUUUGCCAUAAGACCGAAACGUCUCAUUGUAUCGUCAAGAUCAAAGUCACUAUCAUCAUCAUCAUCAUAGUAUCCAUGUUCAUCAUGAUCUUGUGACUCAUCAUUUCCUAGAGAGGGUAAUUCAUUAGAUAAAUGAUCAUCAAAGUGGUCACUUUUAUGAAUUCUUAUAGCUUCGAAUAUAAUAUCACUAAUGAUUCCAACAUCUCCUUUAGCAUGCUUAAGAUUGGUAAGUUCAAAUAGAUAACUACCAAAAGUAGGAUCACUAGAGUUCAUCUUACUCAAGGCAAUAGAUUUAUGGAGAAUUUCAUCCAAAUUUUUCAAGGAAUGAUCGGGAAAUCGUUCCUCAAGAAAUUUCCAUAUAGUAUAGGCGCAAUUAAGAGUAGGCAAACUAGCAAUCAAAUUUUUGGGCAAUCCUCUAAUGAUGAGCUCAAUAGUUCUAAGACUGCGAAUCAUGUCAAUAUCUUCAUCUAGGGUAGGAUGCAAAGGAUCAAUAUGAGGUGCACAAGGACUAGCAAUAUACUUGUUCAAAUGAUAUUGAUUGAAGAUUACAAGCAUCUCAUUUUUCCACUCAUGAAAAUACUCUCCAUCAAGAAUAGGCACUCUAUGUCUAAGACUCCCUAAAGUAGACACAUCCAUCUUCCUCCAAUGGUGAUUAAACCAAGGCAAUGGAAACCUCGCUUUGAUACCACUUGUAGGAUCUAGAAGUAGAUGUGUCUAGAGGGGGUUGAUUAGACACUUAGUGCUAAAGUUGCAAUUUUUAGACCUCUUUGGUUUGAGUGGAGUUUUAGGCACAAUUUCAACAUACACAAUACAUAUCAAGCAAGCAUGCAAAGAGUAUAUGAGCAGCGGAAUGUAAAGCAUGCAACUUGCAAGAAUGUAAGGGGAAGGGUUUGGAGAAUUCAAACGCAAUUGGUGACACGGAUGUUUUUCCUGUGGUUCGGAUAGGUGGUGCUAUCCUACAUCCACGUUGAUGGAGACUUCAACCCACGAAGGGUAACGGUUGCGCAAGUCCACGGAGGGCUCCACCCACGAAUGGUAACGGUUGCGCGAGUCCAUGGAGGACUCCAUCCAUAAAGGGUCCACGAAGAAGCAACCACCCACAAAGGGUCCACGAAGUAGCAACCUUGUCUAUCCCACCAUGGCCAUCGCCCACGAAGGACUUGCCUCACUAGCGGUAGAUCUUCACGAAGUAGGCGAUCUCCUUGCCCUUACAAACUCCUUGGUUCAACUCCACAAUCUUGUCGGAGGCUCCCAAGUGACACCUAGCCAAUCUAGGAGACACCACUCUCCAAGAAGUAACAAAUGGUGUGUAGGUAAUGAACUCCUUGCUCUUGUGCUUCAAAUGAUAGUCUCCCCAACACUCAACUCUCUCUCAUAGGAUUUUGGAUUUGGUGGAAAGUAGAUUUGAGUGGAAAGCAACUUGGGGAAGGCUAGAGAUCAAGAUUCAUAUGGUAGGAAUGGAAUAUCUUGGUCUCAACACAUGAGUAGGUGGUUCUCUCUCAGAACAUAUGAGUUGGAAUUGUGUAUGUGUUCUGAUGUCUCCCUUUACGAAUGAAGAGGAGGUGGACGGGUAUAUAUAGCCUCCACACAAAAUCCAACCGUUACACACAGUUUUCCAAUCUCGGUGGGACCGAAUCAACAAACUCGGUCAGACCGAAAAGAUAAACCUAGUGACCGUUAGAGAUUUUCGGUGGGACUGUCAUGCAACUCGGUAGGACCGAUAUGGUUAGGGUUUGGGCAUAACGUAAUCUCGGUGAGACCGAUUACACAAACUCGGUGAGACCGAUUUUGGUAAUUAGCUAACCAGAGAGUUGGUCAGGCAAACUCGGUGGGACCAAUUUGCUCUUUCGGUGAGACCGAAAAGUUACAAAAAGGAAACACUGAAUUUGCAUUGCAAUCUCGGUGGGACCGAUUCGCUUUUUCGGUGAGACCGAAAAGUUACGAAAGGGAAACAGAGAGUUUGCAAUCCCAUCUCGGUGAGACCGAGAUCCCUAUCGGUAGAACCGAAUUGCUAGGGUUUGGCAGUGGCUUAUGAGAAGUGAAACUCAGUGGCGCCGGAUAGGAAUAAUCGGUAGGUCCGAGUUUGGCUUUGGGUUUAGGUCAUAUGUGGAAGUGGGAAAGUAGUUGAGGGUAUUGGAGCAUAUCACUAAGCACAUGAAGCAAGAGGCUCAUUAAGCAACACCUCAUCCCUCCUUGAUAGUAUUGGCUUUUCCUAUGGACUCAAUGUGAUCUUGGAUCACUAAAAUGUAAAAUGAAGAGUCUUGAGCUUGAGGAUUUAGCCAAUCCUUUGUCCUUAGCAUCUUGAAGGAGUUCCCACAACCUUUAGUCCAUGCCACUCCAUUGUUGAACUUAUCUGAAACAUGCUAGAUAGAAAUGUUAGUCCAACAAGAGAUAUGUUGUCAUCAAUUAUCAAAACCACCUAGGGAGCACUUGUGCUUUCAACCGGCUGCCCUUGGGAGGUUCGGGCCGAUCUCUGCCCCGCUUGGUGUCUGGUUCUGCCGCGAGCACGGAAGCCCCCUUGCGCUUCACUUCCUUGGCCUUCAGCUUCUUCUCUUAUGGGUCUGCGGCAGGCAGCUCAAGGAGGGAGAGACGCCCUUCCUCAGCCCUGGCGCACUUGUUCGCCAAGUUGAACAGCUCCAAAGAAGUGCACAGGUCUUCAUGCAUCGCCAGCUCCUCCUUCAUCUUGACGUAGCGCACGCCGUCGGAGAAGGCUGAGAUGAUGGCCUCUUCAGUCACCUUGGGAAUCUUGAGGCGUGCGUUGUUGAAGCGUUGGAUGUACUUCUGCAGGGUCUCCCCGGGUUGUUGCUUGAUGCGGCGCAUGUCGCUCGCGGCGGGUGGCCGGUCGCGAGUACCUUGGAAGUUGGCGAUGAAGCGGGUGCGCAUCUCUUCCCAGGAGGAGAUUGUGCCUGGUGCCAGGUUCAGAAGCCAGGUGCGGGCCCCGUCCUUGAGCGCCAUGGGAAACCAGUUCGCCGUGACCUUGUCGUCUCCGUUCGCAGCUUCGAUGCCCAGCUCGUAGAGCUAGAGGAACUCCGCAGGGUCGGUCGUGCCGUCGUAGCGAGGAGGCAGGUCCGGCUUGAACUUGCCUGGCCACGCGACGCUGCGCAGCUCGGUGGUGUAGGCGCGGCAGCCUGCUGUGGCCACGGGAGGCCUUGGGUGAUGGAGAGCCUGGUCUUGCAUGUCCCCACGCGCCGGAGUAGGAGGAUGGUCGCGACGUGCUGGAGCAGGGAGCGCCCGGGCAGCUUCUGGCGGGUGAGGGACUUCUUGGCAGCUCUGCUCUUGCCGCGCUGGCACCUGACGGAGCGGGUUCCGCCCAGGGGCCACGCGCCUUGGAGCCAUGGCGUCUUCUUGGGGAGGAGGCGGCCGGGGCGCUGCCAGAGCCUCGUCGCUCGCGCGGGGCGGGUUGCGGUGCAGCGGAACGGGCGGCGCGGAAGAACCCCCUGCAGCGCGGACGAGCUCGGCGACGCGGCCGAGCCAUUCUUCAUAGAUGUCAUCGAUGGGACGGUAGCAUAGGAGCUUGUUCGCCGCGAUGAGUGCAGCCCGAGCCUCCAUGGGCGCGCGGAGCGCACGGGAUGAAGAUCCAGCUGGGGCGAGCGAGGGAGUCGCGGUGCGGCCGUCUUGGCGCACGGAUGCAUGCUGAGACGAUGCUUGCUGCUCGUCCCCCGCCGGGCCGGUCGCGGCGGUGACGGCAGGUGACGGGGAACGGCGAGGACGCCCGCUGACAGGGGCUGUCUAGGCGACGCGGGAAGCGAGGGCGGCCCGGCGCUCCGCGCGGCCCCGACGUGCGUCAGAUAUGAGCGUGAUGGUUGGAGGAGAGCGGGGCGGUGGAAGACGAAUUCCGGCGCACCCCUACCUGGCGCGCCAAAUGUCGGAUUUCGGGUUCCGGAAGACCCUCGAGGUUCGAACACUGGGGUGCGCGCGGAGAUUUCGCCUCCUACCUACCUGCACCCGUCCGCCACGCUAGGAUCAAAGCUAUGAAAAGAACAACACAAGGGACACAGGGUUUAUACUGGUUCGGGCCACCAUUGUGGUGUAAUGCCCUACUCCAGUGUGUGGUGUGUGGAUUGCCUCUUGGGUUGAUGAUGAUGAACAAUACAAGGAAGAACAGCCUCGCGAGGGUCUGUUCUUGGCUGGGGGAUGAACUGAUGGGGGGAGUUCAGCCACCUUUCUCUCUCUCUUUCUCUCUGCUUCUCACCUCUCUAACGAGCCUCCUUAUUCCUACCACCCAACCCCCCUUUUGCUUUGAGGGUGGCUGGUCCUAUUUAUAGAGGCCCUGGUCCUCUUCCCAAAUAUUGAGCGGGAAGGGAGCCAACAAUGGCGGGCUAAUUUGAAAGGGGACAGCAAGUAUCAGCUAUCCUGACAAAAGUAGUCUUCGCCUGCGCAAAGCUCUGGUGAUGGCGCCGUCUUGGGCUCCACGGUGACCUCCAUCUCGUAGUCCUCCUGGUCUUGGUCUCGUUGCACCGAAAUGGCAACCUUUGCCUGGUGCCUCGGUACUCCGCGGAUGCGCUUGCCCGCUUUGCACCAAAGAGGAAAGGAGGACGCUGCGCGGGCUGGCACCCGCCUGGCGCCCUGAGUCGUCAUGGCUUGCGUCACAGGCACCUCAUAAGGUACCCCGCCUUGAUCUCUCCGCCUCCUCGUGAGCCAGCCUGACGAGGCCGUGCCUGAGGAAGCUCCGUGUCGUCCGCCCCGCGAGGCUUGGCCCCUCGCGAGGGUCUUCAGUUUGUGUUGGUGAAGAUGGGCCGUGCUAGGGCCCCCUUUGAGCCACGCCGCAGGCCGCAGGCAGGCAAGUCUGGGGACCCCCAUUCCCAGAACGCCGAUAGGCUCCAACAGACGUGCUAAAAUACAGCGCGCAUCACUCCAGCAGCGCGCGCGACUCGCCAGCGCAUGCCAUAUGUUGCAUUUUGGACACAAAAUGGAUUUCAAACAUUCAAAAUGUAAUGAACAUGGCAUAUAAUUUCACACAAACAAGUUGAUGAAUAAAAGUUCAUGCCCACAAGUUCAUCCAACCAAGUUCAAAAUGCAAACCAAGUUCAUGACACAAAUGAAAGACACAUCAAGCCUCGUCUUCGUCCUCAUCUUCCGAAGACGAUUCUUCCUUCUCCGAAGAUGAUUCUUCCUCAUCCUCAUCAUUGUCGCGCACCACAUCACGUGAAGCUCAGACGGUGUUGGCAAGAUCUUCAACGACAUCUUCAUGGGAAGGUGUGUGAGGCACACCGGAAGACAUUCCGCCCAUGGCGGCCGGAGGUGCACCCAUGCCUCCCAUGAGAGACGCAAAACUCAUUGCUCCCAUGGCGGACAUGGCGCCGGGGGGUCCUCCAAAGCCACCCAUGCCUCCCAUGAUCUCCAUGCAGCUCCAAAGCCACCCAUGGCACCUAAGCCACCCAUGGUAGCUCCAAAGACACCCAUGCCUCCCAUGGCGCCAAGUCCACCGCCACCCAUGGCGCCAAGGCCACCGCCACCCAUUGCACGAAUCAUGGCUCUUUUGUGGAUCAAUACUUCUUCAUGGGCAAGAUUGACAUACUCCUUUUGCGCCUCAUUGAGGAUAGAUGUGUCCAAGAAGAACAAGUGCUUCUCCCAUUCCAACAAUCUAGUUCGCUCCUCAUUGCUCACCUUCCUCUCCUCCAAAGACAUCUUCCUCUCCUCGGCCACCAACCUCCUCUCCCUGUCCACAGCAUCUUGGUUCCUUGCCAUUUUCCUCACCUCGUUGGCUUCUUUUCUUGCGUUCACAAUAGAUUCCACAGCAUUUUUGAGCUCAUCAUCUCCUUUCUUCUUUUUCUUUUUUUUCGCGUAUUUCUUGCACCCAUCCGGUCGUUUUGGCUUCAAGUAUGAAACCGAGUUGGGUGUGGGGCUUCUCUUGUUGUCAUCACUUGAUGCACCCCCCGUCAUCAUCAUCAUCCAACUCAAUUGUUUGCUUGCGUUUGUUGCUCAAAUACAAAUCAUCCAAAUCAUCACGCUUCUUCCAUUUCUCAUCAUCCUUCAACACGUCAUAGCAAUGAGGCAAGGUAAAUGGCCUUUCUUUCUUGAUCUUCCCCUUCUUGGUCCUCUUCUCCUCUCCUUUGAACAAGUUUUGUGCAAUGUUGUACUACAUGAAAACAAAACAAGUUAGCACUUCAAACACCAACAACAAGUAUGAUGAACAUGGAUGAAAUGCCACUUACUCUAUCGUCCUCAUUGGUGCCACUUGCACUACUAGGAAAAGGGCUAUAGAUGGAAAUGACACUAAUGGCGCACCAGACAUGUGGUGCGCCAUUAAUAUAUACUAAUGGCGCACCAUGUGUUGGUGCGCCAUUAGUGUUCAAAUACUAAUGGCGCACCACAUCCACGGUGCGCCAUUAAUAACAAUUUUUUUUUCAUUUUUUUUCAAAACUAGUAAUGGCGCACCGUGGGAGUGGUGCUCCAUUACUAGUUAAACUAGUAAUGGCGCACCACAUCCACGAUGCGCCACUAGUAAAUUAUUUUCAAAAAAAAUUCCAAAAUUUAUUUAUUUAUUUUUUCAAAACUAGUAAUGGCGCACUAGUGGACAGUGCGCCAUUACUAGUUAAAACUAGUAAUGGCGCACUGUCAACUGGUGCGCCAUUACUAAGUUUUUAAAAAAAUUAGAAUUUGUUUUAUUGUUUUUUCAAAACUAGUAAUGGCGCACCACACCCACGGUGCGCCAUUACUAACUUGGCCCAAAACGUACCGAAUGCACCCCCCCCCCCGUGGACCGCCUUUUCAGUUUAAAAAAAAUAAAAGAAAAUGAUGGAAAUGUCAAAAAAUAAAAGAAAAUAAGUUUCCUAUGUGAUAUGUGGUCUAGUUGUUGGGAAAAUUUACAAAUAUGAAUUUCAACUUUAUUUGCAAAAUCUCUCUGAAAUUUGUAAAAUGGGCAUAACUUUUGCAUACGAACUCGGAUUAAAAAGUUUUUUAUAUGAAAAAUCAUCUACUCGAAAAGUUACAUCCAAAAAUCAUCCACCAUCACAAGUGAAUGCAACUAAAAUUGCAAAAAAAACAAAUUUGAUUAUAUUUUCAAAUAACAAAUUUGAUGAUAUUUUAUAAAAAAUUAUUACUUUUUUUAUAAAAAAUAUUACUGUUAUGAUUUAAACAAGUUUGAACAUAUUUAAACACAAAUAAAUAUCAAACAACAUUUUAAAUGCAUAAAAACAAAAACUGGGGAGCCUGGGAAUCUGGGAAUCGAACCCAGGACCUCCUAGUGUGUGUGCUGUGUGCUGACCAGUCGGGCUAGUGGGCGUGUUUUGAUGGAGAUAGGGUUAGGUGGAAUAUAACCUGACCAGUCGGGCUAGUAAUUAAAACAAAAUUCUAAUGGCGCACCAGGGGGAGGUGCGCCAUUAGAAUCCUCGUACUUAUGGCGCACUAGGGGGUGCGCCAUUGCUAACCCUCCCCCACUCCACCUAUUCCCCUCACACUGUGUGGCCUCCCUCCCUCGCGAGAUCCCCCACUCGACCCCAAACGUACGCCGCCGCCCCCUUGCUCCGCCCCUCUAUCCGCCGCGCCUGCAUGCCGUUGGUGCCGCCGCCGCCGCCGUUGUGGUCUUGCGCUGCCCCGACGUCGCCGCCCCGACCCCCGCGGGACUCCACCCCCGCCGCCCCCGCGCCCCCCGAACGGGAUCGGCCGAGCGCGCACCGCCCGCUCCUCUCCUCUCCUCCUCCNNNNNNNNNNNNNNNNNNNNNNNNNNNNNNNNNNNNNNNNNNNNNNNNNNNNNNNNNNNNNNNNNNNNNNNNNNNNNNNNNNNNNNNNNNNNNNNNNNNNNNNNNNNNNNNNNNNNNNNNNNNNNNNNNNNNNNNNNNNNNNNNNNNNNNNNNNNNNNNNNNNNNNNNNNNNNNNNNNNNNNNNNNNNNNNNNNNNNNNNNNNNNNNNNNNNNNNNNNNNNNNNNNNNNNNNNNNNNNNNNNNNNNNNNNNNNNNNNNNNNNNNNNNNNNNNNNNNNNNNNNNNNNNNNNNNNNNNNNNNNNNNNUCCUCCUCCCUUCGACGAGCGAGGGCCUCCUCCGGCCCCUGCAGCAGCCGGCGAGCGCAGCACCGACGCACCCACCCUGCCUACCCUGCCGUCCUCCGCCACCGGCCCCUGCUCUCCUUCGACCGCGGCGAGCGAGGACCCAGACGAGCUCGGACCCCGACCCCGACCCCUCCGGCGACCAGGUACCUCUCCUCCUUUCUUCCUCUCUCCACCAUUCCUCAUUCCACUGCUGCCUCCGGCGGCCGCUCGCUGCCUUGCACACCCGUGCACGCACCUAGCCGUGCCGGCCCUGCUUGCCGUCCCGCGCGCGCCCCUGCGCCUGCCUGAGCUGCUUCUGCUGAAGCUCUUGCCCUGCUGCUACGCUAAUACUGCUGCUGCUUACUGUACUUCUAGCUAGCUUUUCAAUUUUUACAUGGACUAACCUCCUAGACAAACCCUAAUCUGUGGUUAAACAACUGGUAAAAUGACUGAAUAAAAUAUGAGUAGGUAGUAUAUGAUCAAUAGGCAAUACUAGUGGAUAUUAGGCCUUUUUACAGGCAAUAAUAGUGGGUGAUGUACCUGGAUGUCUGUGGGCGAUGCUCAGGUGGUAUGUAUGAUGUCUCCGCUUUUUUGAGAUUGCUGCUGCUAUCUCACCAGAUUAUAUGUAGUGUGUCAUUCUUGCUAUGGUCAUGUAAGAGAAAUGCUUUGCCUUGCUAAUUUUACCAUGAGAUUUGGGGUAAUCAGCUAGUUCUGGUCAAAGCAAGUGGUUUUCCUGAGCUAUGCCUUGCUUAGAAAAUGAUGCAUGAUGGUUUGUUCAGAAGAGGAAUAAUCCCAGGAUAGCACGUAUCAUGGGGUCAAACCUGGGACCCCUAUUGUAAUUUGAUUUUGAUUAUUAAUUUUUCUGUGAGCAGAUGAAUUACAGUGUUUGUGUUGUAAUGAAACUUGAGCUGAAAUAGAACUUGAAAGCCUGUACAGUGAAUAUAUACAGUCAUUGUAAUUUUGGGAGUAAUUUUUGGUGUCAAAUCACUCAAGCGGUAACUGAAUUUUUAAACUGAACUUGACACAAUACUAUUCAGUUAAUUUGCUUGGACAGUAGUAUGUAUGCUCAUCACUUUAUGUAUGGUGUUAUGCCCUGUUAUCUCUGUUCAGUUGACUAAUGAAGCACUAGGCUCAUCCAUGGUACAAGUUCACCUGUGAACACUUGAAAUUAGUCAGGACAUCCCGUACUGAUAGAUGUAAAUUGUGUCCAGUAGGCUUUGAAGCACCGGUUUUUCCUGUUUCUAACUCUGAAUCUGAUAUAAACCAUAUUGUUGCCAUAAGUGGUCUUUUGUAUAUGUGCUUAUGCUUUGUUAAUAUAAAGCUAUAGAUGAUGUUGUACUUAUGAUGAUGCUACUUGUGAUCUUCUGAAAUGACCCAUUGGCGACUUCAUUACGCGGGGAUAAUGAUAUUGCAGGUACCCCGAGAGGCCCUUGAGUUUGCUAGAAUGUUGAUUAACUUCCGUUCCAGCAAAUUCGGGUACUCCAUAUGUCCUAUUUUCAGCAAAGGCCAUGCUGAAAUUUUCCGUGAAUUUUAGCAUGACUUUGCUAAAAAUAGGACAUAUGGGGUACUUGCGACUAAUGUUGAUUAUCUUCUGCUCAAAAUUUAUGCUGCUAUAAUGUUGUAAGGGUACUAAUUGGUCUCUUCUGCUGCUUAUCAGAGAUGGGGGGAAGCAGCCACCGCCGCUCUGCCUCAUCGGAGUACAAGUUGGAUGCUUUCGAGUUCUUCACUAUCAUACUUUCUUCUUCAGUAUUAGCCACGAGGCAGGUAUAUAAAAUGAGAGAUCUCCCCUUCACCCAUCUCAUUAUGAUAACUCUAUUGUUUGCUACAUCACUCCUUGUCCCAAAUUGCAGAGGCUGCCUGACGCUUUUAUGAAGAUGCUGGGUGAAGAUCUGCCAGAUAAUGUGAAGCUCCGACAGGCCGGCAGCGGGGUUCGCAGGCUGUGGGACGUGGAGUUGGUGAUCGAGGAGGGCCACAUGUACCUGUGUCGUGGCUGGGAGAAGUUCUACAGUGCCUACGACCUGCAGACCGGGUACUUUCUUCUCUUGAGGUACGACGAUGACGCCACAAUGCUCAUCGUGAAGGUUUUCAACAAGACUAUGUGUCGCAUGCGCUACGCUGAAGACAAAGAUGCCAGUGUGUUCUGCCUCUUCUUAUUCCUCCAUAUUUGGCUUUGUCUCACAUCGAUUGUUAACGGUCAUUGUUGCAUUUGGACAGGCAAUGGGAGCAGCAGCAGUGACACUGGCUACAGCCAAAGCAGCAGCGAUUAUGGCUGUAGCAAAAGCAACAGUGAUUCUGGCCUUAGCGAAAGCACUAGCGAUUCUGGCAGCAGCGAAGACAACAAGAAGGAUGAUCCGGACUAGAGUGGGGGAGAAGAGGAGCAGAGUGGGGAUGAGGAGCUGCAGGAUGACGAUGGGCAUCAGGAUGAGGAUGACCUAGCGCUGGUGGUGGCUGACCAAGGGCAAGAGAUGGUGGUGGCUGACCAGGUGCAAGAGAUGGUGGUGGCUGACCAUGGGCAAGAGAUGGUGGUGGCUGACCAUGGGCAAGAGAUGGUGGUGGCUGAGGGUGGCCUCGUGAUGGUAGUGGUGCCUGACAAUUACCACGCACCGGUGGUGGCGCCGGCGAUCCCACAGCUAGGCGACAUGACCACGCCAAUUGUGGUAGAAGACUACAUCCCAUAGCUGCCUCCACUGCCUCCACUGCCUCGCCGCUCUUGGCGCAUCAGGCUGAGGAAGGAGAAGGAGAAGAACAAUGAGAACUGAACUAUGUCAGGUAUGUCAGAUCUCCAAAAUGAUAUAUAUAUAUAUACUUAGUUACCUAUUUAUCUCUAAUAUGCUUAGUUUCCUAUAGGUUAGCUCCAAAAUUACUUAUGUUAGCACAAAAUGAUCAAGUUUACAUAAUAAGCUUAUAGUCUUCUUCUUAUUCUUCUUCUUAUCCAAAAUGACAUAGGUUAGCUUCAUUUUACCUAAGUUGGCUCUAAUAUGCUAACUUAGAGCUUAUAUGCUUAGUUUCCUAUAGGUUAGCUCCAAAAUUACUUAUGUUAGCACAAAAUGAUCAAGUUUACAUAAUAAGCUUAUAGUCUUCUUCUUAUUCUUCUUCUUAUCCAAAAUGACAUAGGUUAGCUUCAUUUUACCUAAGUUGGCUCUAAUAUGCUAACUUAGAGCUUAUAUGCUUAGUUUCCUAUAGGUUAGCUCCAAAAUUACUUAUGUUAGCACAAAAUGAUCAAGUUUACAUAAUAAGCUUAUAGUCUUCUUCUUCUUCUUCUUCUUAUCCAAAAUGACAUAGGUUAGCUUCAUUUUACUCAAGUUGGCUCUAAUAUGCUAACUUAGAGCUUAUAUGCUUAGUUUCCUAUAGGUUAGCUCCAAAAUUACUUAUGUUAGCACAAAAUGAUCAAGUUUACAUAAUAAGCUUAUAGUCUUCUUCUUAUUAUUCUUCUUAUUCUUCUUCUAGUCUUCUUCUUCUUCUCUUCUUCUUCUUCUUCUUCUAACUUCUUGUUUAUCAUUUUGCAUAUUUGAUUUAAUUCACGGAAGCUUGCAUGGAUGGAGUGCUUCUUUUCGAUUUGUGUUUUUAUUUUGUAUCAAUGUGAAACUUUUGUGAAUUGAUGGAUAACGGUGUUGAAUGAACGUUGUGAAACUUUUGUAAUAUGUAACGAUGGAACUAUGUGUUGGCUAUGUAUGUAUAUAUGAUGAAACUUGUGUGUUGGAUAUGAUCUGGUGGACGCAGGUAACAUCGUUACAUAUGGCCCCCUGUAUGUAAGCUAAGCAGAUCUGUGUUGUAUGUUAUCUCUAAUAUUUUUUAACCUGUGAAAAUAUCAGAAAUGAAAAAAAAUCCCUAAUAUUCAUACUAGUGGCGCACCACACAAGACAUUAAUGGCGCACUGUUAUAAUCACACUAAUGGCGCAUCACCCAACAGUGCGCCAUUAGUAUGCCAAAGCACAAGGUUAAAUAUGGCCCCCUGGGAGGCAUACUAAUGGCGCAUGGUGUUCUAUACUAAUGGCGCACUGGUCGGUGCGCCAUUAGUAUACCAGAUACUAAUGGCGCACCGGUGGUGCGCCAUUAGUAAGAAAUACUAGUGGCGUGAUACUAAUGGCGCACCAGCAGUGCGCCAUUAGUGGGCAAAACUGGUGCGCCAUACUAGCCCUUUUCCUAGUAGUGUUGGGUUCAACUUGUCAACCAGCUUUGGUGCGGCUGCCCACUUUUGAAAAUCCUUGUUGAUUAUCGACCACCGGGACCGAAGAGAUCGGUCGGAGCGGUCAGUUUCACUCACGUUGCGAACAUCAAAGUGUUCCUUCAUCUGGUUCCAAUAAACAUCUCUACUUUGAUCACCUCCAACGGAUGGAUCCCUCGACACUUGCAACCAAGUAUUGCAUAGUAAGAUAUCUUCGGCGUUGGUGUAAUUGCCCGCUCUUCCUUUUGGUGCAUUGACAAUGCCCUCACCAUCCUCGUCCACCUCUAUAGCGACCAGACCUCAAACGGUCCAAUCUCUGUGCUCCGGUGUCAUCCCUGGAUCAGUAAUGCUGACACCACAUAGUACUUGAAGGAUUUAUAACAGAGUAGCAAUCACACACUUAUUACACCGAGUGUCUCAAUAGAGAACUUAUUACAAUAAAUAUGGCUUAAGGCCAUCUAAUAACGAUAACAGCGGAAGGCUUAGAAGAUAAGUGAGUCCAUCAACUCCAACGGCAUCACUGAGUAUAGAACCACGACCUAAAACUCCUUAAUCGUCGUCUGAAAAGCCUGCAACAUUAACGUUGCAGCCCGAAAACGGGUCAGCACAUGGAAUAUGCUGGCAAGGUAACACAUAGAGAGUAAUGGAAUGAAACAGCUAUACUAUAUGCAUCUUUGGCUGGUGGAAAGCUCUAUGGUUACAGUUUUGUGAAAAGCCAUUUUUUCCCUACUGCAAAGGAAUAAAUUUAUUUAACUAUCAUGGUGGUUGUUAAACAUUGAGAAUGGUUGACAGCAUUCUCAAUCCCAAUUAAACAUCAUUAAACAAACCCGUCAAACUUAAUUUUAUAGUAACAUGUUGAGAUUCACAUGAUAAUCCAAGUACUAGAUACUCAAGAUGUCCAUGACCGGGGAUAUGGCUAACCAUGAUUAGUUUAUACACUCUGCAGAGGUUUGCGCACUUUUCCCCACAAGACUCGAUCUCCUCCGUUGGAUUUCUCGCACUACAGGGUGUUUGAGAAACGGAUGACCGAGACAUAGUCUUUCAGAAGAGCUAGCACCUUACGAUCGGGUAGACCGUACCACCUACAUCCCCUACAUCUGCUAGUCUACCACUGUAAGAGUUCGCACGACUUAGUCAACUAUGCUAGAGCCCAUAAUAGCUUGUGGCUGCACACGGAAGUUUCUAGCAUGAAUAAUCUCAUGAUCCCUUUGAGCCUGGGUGGCGGUCCAAAAGAAACAGGAAAUCCUGGAAUACCCAGGUACCUCAAUCCACCCAAAUGUGUAUUUAAGUUGCCACCUUAGAUAAACCAUUGAUUUAAAAGAAAUCUCACAUCUGUCAUGGAUAUCACUCACCCAAUCCACGUCUACUAGCAUAGCAUAGCAAUAGUAAGCAAACGUAGAAGUAACUCCCAAGGUUUGAUAAUAAACAGGUAAUAGGUACUACCUCAACUACUUCCUAAACCCACAAUUUAAUUAGAUCCUAAUCAUGCAAUGUGUAGAGAUUGAUCUAAUGCAAUAAAACUGGGUAGUAGAAGGUAUGAUCAAAGUGUUACUUGCCUUGCUGAUGAUCCGGGAAACCUAGUGAUUCGAAGUAACAAGCGGCGCACUCUGGGUACUCUAUCACAAAAAAACAAGCAUACAAUAAGUACUCAACUAAUGCACAGGUAAAACUCAAAUAAGAGAUAUAACCAGAAAGUUCAACUUAAGAACUCCGGUUGGCAAAAAGAAUCAAAUCGAACGAAGCAACGAAAGACAAACGGCAAAAGAAAAAGGCUUCGAUUACUAUUCUGGAUCUAGGGCAAUUUUUACAGAACAAAAACUUGUUUAAGUUGGUUAAACGGAAAGAGGGUUUCAAGACAAAACUCCAGGCGCUUGAAUCGCCUGAUUCCGAUAAACGAGCGAAAAGUUAUACUAAAACGAAAGUCGGAUCAGAAAUCGUGAUCAGAAAUAUCGCGGAUUUAAUCCAAGAAAAAGAAAACAACGAACAGGUUAACGAACGAACGUUCGUUAACUGGAUCUAAACGACAAACACGUUCGUUAAAAUGAAUGAACGAGCGAACGCUCACUAAAUAGACUAAACCGAAAAUAAAACCGAUCUAAUAAAAAAACAAAAUCUAAAAAGAAUAAACCCUCGACUUUUAAAAAAACCGCCGGCGACGGCAGCUACCUCGGGCGGCGUGGCGGCUCCGGCGAGCGGGCGAGGCGGCNNNNNNNNNNNNNNNNNNNNNNNNNNNNNNNNNNNNNNNNNNNNNNNNNNNNNNNNNNNNNNNNNNNNNNNNNNNNNNNNNNNNNNNNNNNNNNNNNNNNNNNNNNNNNNNNNNNNNNNNNNNNNNNNNNNNNNNNNNNNNNNNNNNNNNNNNNNNNNNNNNNNNNNNNNNNNNNNNNNNNNNNNNNNNNNNNNNNNNNNNNNNNNNNNNNNNNNNNNNNNNNNNNNNNNNNNNNNNNNNNNNNNNNNNNNNNNNNNNNNNNNNNNNNNNNNNNNNNNNNNNNNNNNNNNNNNNNNNNNNNNNNNNNNNNNNNNNNNNNNNNNNNNNNNNNNNNNNNNNNNNNNNNNNNNNNNNNNNNNNNNNNNNNNNNNNNNNNNNNNNNNNNNNNNNNNNNNNNNNNNNNNNNNNNNNNNNNNNNNNNNNNNNNCGGGGCGACGGCGGCGGUGGCGGGGCGGCGGCUAAGGUUAGGGUUAGGGCGCGGGUGGGCUGGUGGGCUAGUGGGCUGCGGCGGGGCUCGGGCGGCGCUAUUUAAAGGCUGCCCCGGGCGGAGUCCCACUCGGGUACGGCCCGGAGUCGGUUCGGACUUUUUUUAAAAAAAUUAAUUCUGCGCAGAAAAACAAAUAAAAGAAAUACUAAACAGACUCCAAAAAUCCCGAAAUAAAUUUUCCCCGGCUUCUAAAAUCAAGCCGCACAGGAUGAACAUUUAUUUGGGGCCUAAAUGCAAUUUUGAAAAACGCGCAUUUUUCCUAAAUUCAAAUAAAAUAGCAAAUAAAACCAAAAAAAUAUUAUUUGCUUUUUUUAUUAAAUCCUCACUAUUUCUUUAUUUUGGGAAAGUCAUUUUAUUCCUUCUCUCAUAUUUUUGUAAUAUAAAUUAUUGAAGAUAAAAUAAAUCAAAUCAAAUGAUCCUAUUUUCAAAAUUUGAGACAACUCAAAUAUGAAAAUAACGAAAUCCCCAACUCUCUCCGAGGGUCCUUGAGUUGCGAAACAUUUCUAGGGUCGACCAAAAUGCAAUAAAUAUGAUAUACAAUGAUGAUCUAGUGUAUAACAUUCCAAAUUGAAAUUUUGGGAUGUUACAAACCUACCCCCCUUAAGAUGAAUCUCGCCCUCAAGAUUCGGGUUGGCUAGAAAAUAGGUGAGGGUGGUCCUUCAGCAAAUCUUCCUCUCGUUCCCAAGUGGCUUCAUCCUCCAUGUGGUGGCUCCACUGAACUUUGCAAAAAUUGAUAACCUUGCUGCGGUUGACUCGACUGGCAUACUCUAGAAUCUUAACUGGUUUCUCCUCAUAGGUCAAAUCACUGUCCAACUGAAUUGCUUCCAGUGGUACCGUAUCCCUCAGCGGUAUGUCAGUCAUCCCUGCGUGGCACUUCUUCAACUGGGAUACAUGAAACACGUCGUGAACUCCUGAUAGUCCUUCGGGUAAUUCCAACUUGUAGGCUACUUCUCCCAUACGUUCCAACACUUUGUAUGGGCCUACAAAACGUGGCGCUAGUUUUCCCUUAACUCCAAAGCGCUUAACUCCUCGAAGUGGUGAUACUCGAAGAUAAACUCGGCCUCCGACUUCGUAACAUGUCUCCUUGCGUUUAGAGUCUGCAUAACUCUUCUGCCUGGAUUGAGCUACCUUUAGUCUGUCACGAAUUAAUUUCACUUUUUGUUCAGAUUCCUUUAUCAGAUCCGGUCCAAACAACGGGCGAUCUCCAACUUCAUCCCAGGACAAUGGGGUCCUGCACCUCCUUCUGUACAAGGCUUCGAAAGGGGCCAUCUUCAAACUGGAUUGGUAGAUGUUGUUGUAAGAGAACUCUGCAUAUGGCAAAUUCUCAUCCCAACUAGAUCCGUAAUCUAGCGCACAAGCUCUUAGCAUAUCCUCCAAGAUCCGGUUGACUCUCUCAGUCUGUCCAUCUGUCUGCGGGUGGAAAGCUGUGCUAAACUCUAGUCUGGUUCCCAAAGUCUCAUGCAAUUGAUUCCAGAACUUUGAAGUAAACUGGGUUCCUCUAACUGAUACAAUGCUCCUCGAAACUCCAUACCGACAUAUGAUCCUGGUCAUGUAUAUCUUUGCCAACUUUGCACUGGUAUAGGUAGUCUUCACUGGAAUGAAAUGAGCUACCUUUGUCAAAUGAUCGACUACAACCCAUAUCGAGUCAUAGCCUGAACGUGUUGUAGGCAAUCCUGUAAUAAAAUCCAUGCCUAGCUUAUCCCACUUCCAUUCGGGUAUCGGCAAUGGUUGUAGCAAUCCUGCUGGCUUCUGAUGCUCUGCCUUCACUCUCUGACAUACAUCACAAACUGCUACAUAUUCCGCAAUAUUCUUCUUCAUUCCGGUCCACCAGAAAAUAUCCUUCAAAUCCAAAUACAUCUUGGUAUUUCCUGGGUGAAUCGAAUAUGGUGAAUCAUGGGCCUCUUGCAGAAUUAGCUUUCUAAUCUCCGGAUCAUUUGGUACAUAGACGCGGUCUCCAAACCAUAGGGUAUCGUGUCCAUCCUCACGAAAUCCCUUAGCUUUUCCUUUGCUAAUUUUCUCCUUAAUAGAAGCAAUCUCCUUGUCAGUCCUUUGGGCUUCUCUGAGUUUAUCCAUCAAUGUAGGCUGAAUCUCCAAUGCUGCUACAUAGCCUCUCGGGACUAUUUCUAAACAUAACUCUUGAAGAUUUUUGGCUAACUCCCUUGGUAAUUCUCCCGUCAUUAGGGUGUUGACAUGGCUCUUACGGCUUAAUGCGUCAGCUACUACAUUAGCCUUUCCGGGGUGAUAAUGCAAUUUCAUAUCAUAAUCCUUGAUGAGCUCCAACCAUCUCCUUUGUCUGAGAUUCAACUCCUUCUGUGUGAAAAUAUACUUCAAACUCUUAUGAUCCGUAUACACCUCGCAAUGGUUUCCAAUCAGAAAAUGUCUCCAAGUCUUCAGUGCAUGCACUACGGCUGCUAACUCCAAAUCAUGCGUAGCAUAAUUCAACUCAUGAGGCUUAAGCUGUCGUGAGGCAUAUGAAACAACUUUCCCUUCCUGCAUAAGCACUGCUCCAAGUCCUCGACGUGAAGCGUCGCAAUACACCUCAUAAUCCUUGGUCUGGUCUAGCAAAAUCAACACUGGUGAAGUAACCAAGCGUUUCUUCAACUCCUGAAAACUAGCCUCAGAUUCCUCCGUCCAUAUGAACUUGGUAUCCUUUUUCAACAACUCCGUCAUAGGCUUCGCAAUCUUUGAGAAAUUCUCAAUAAACCUCCGGUAGUAUCCUGCCAGUCCAAGAAAACUCCGAUCUCUCCCACGGUGAUUGGUGCUUCCCACUUGGUCACGGUAUCAACUUUAGUGGGAUCUACUGCUAUACCUUCUCCGGAUAUAACGUGUCCGAGAAAUCCAACUUCCUUCAACCAAAACUCACAUUUGAUAAACUUGGCAUAUAAUUGGUGUUCUCUGAGCUUUCCAAGAACCAAACGCAAAUGUUCCUUAUGCUCCUCUUCAUUCUUCGAGUAAACCAGGAUAUCAUCAAUGAACACUACGACGAACUUAUGCAAGAACUCCAUAAACACCUUGUUCAUCAUGUUCAUAAAAUAUGCAGGUGCGUUAGUCAGACCAAAUGACAUAACGGUAUACUCAUACAGCCCAUACCUGGUGGUAAAAGCCGUCUUGGGUAUAUCAUGUUCCCGAAUCUUCAACUGGUGGUAUCCUGAUCGCAGAUCGAUCUUGGAAAAUACCUUAGCUCCUUGCAAUCGAUCAAACAGAUCAUUGAUCAUCGGUAGUGGGUACUUAUUCUUGAUGGUUACUUCAUUCAAUCCUCGAUAAUCGACAACCAUCCUUAACGAUCCAUCCUUCUUCCCCACUAGAAGUACUGGCGAUCCCCCAAGGUGAAGAACUUGGGCGAAUAUAACCUUUAUCCAGUAACUCCUUAAUUUGCUUCUUAAUUUCCACCAAAUCCUUUGCAGGCAUCCUAUAUGGUCUCUUUGACAUUGGCCCUGUGCCUAGCAAUAGCUCAAUCAAAAACUCAAUAUCUCUAUCCGGUGGCAUGCCUGGCAACUCUUCUAGAAAUACUUCAGGGAAAUCCUUUACUACUGGUACUGCCUCCUGCACAACUCCUGUUAAGCAAUUUACUUGAGUCCUCUUUGGCACAUGUCGGGAUACAUACUUGAUCCUUCUUCCUUCUGGGGUGGUAAGCAAAAUUGACUUACUAGCACAUUCAAUAUUCCCUUCAUACUUUGAUAACCAAUCCAUGCCUAAUAUCACAUCCAAUCCUUGGGAUUCCAAUACUAUUAGGUCUGAGGGGAAAACAUAGUUACCAAUCCUUAAUGGUAACCAAUCACACCAUAGACUAGCCGUAUAUUCUUCUCCAGGCGAGGCUACUAACAUGGGUGACCUAAGGGCUUGGGUUGCCAGUUUAUACUUAUCCACAAAUCCCCUGGAUAUGUAUGAAUGCGAUGCACCAGUAUCGAAAAGAACGAGAGCAGUAAAUGACUUAACCAAAAACUUACCGAUUACUGCAUCCGGUUGUUCUUCAACCUCCUCCACACUAACGUGGUUCACCUGUCCCUUGUUGAAAGGGUUCGGCUUCUUCCCAGAGCUUCCAUUGCCAUUUCCAUUUUGUGAUUCAGGACAUUCAUUGGCAUAAUGUCCGGUCUUCUAGCACUUAAAGCAAGUGACUUGACUCAGGUCUUUCUUGGCUGGGUUUGAUGGGUUGGUACGGUUCUGGUCGUUGCUUCCUGAAGGAAAUAUGCCCUAGAGGCAAUAAUAAAGUUAUUAUUUAUGUCCUUAUUUCAUGAUAAAUGUUUAUUAUUCAUGCUAGAAUUGUAUUAACUGGAAACAUAAUACAUGUGUGAAUACAUAGACAAACAGAGUGUCACUAGUAUGCCUCUACUUGACUAGCUCGUUAAUCAAAGAUAGUUAUGUUUCCUAACCAUAGACAAACAGUUGUUAUUUGAUUAACGGGAUCACAUCAUUAGGAGUUGUUAUUUUACUAACUUGACCCAUUCUGUUAGCUUAGCACUCGAUCGUUUAGUAUGUUGCUAUUGCUUUCUUCAUGACUUAUACAUGUUCCUAUGACUAUGAGAUUAUGCAACUCCCGAUUACCGGAGGAACACUUUGUGCGCUACCAAAUGUCACAACGUAACUGGGUGAUUAUAAAGGAGCUCUACAGGUGUCUCCAAAGGUACAUGUUGGGUUGGCGUAUUUCGAGAUUAGGAUUUGUCACUCCGAUUGUCGGAGAGGUAUCUCUGGGCCCUCUCGGCAAUGCACAUCACAUAAGCCUUGCAAGCAUUGUAACUAAUGAGUUAGUUGCGAGAUGACGUAUUACGAAACGAGUAAAGAGACUUGCCGGUAACAAGAUUGAACUAGGUAUUAAGAUACCAACGAUCGAAUCUCGGGCAAGUAACAUACCAAUGACAAAGGGAACAAUGUAUGUUGUUAUGCGGUCUGACUGAUAAAGAUCUUCGUAGAAUAUGUAGGAGCCAAUAUGAGCAUCCAGGUUUCGCUAUUGGUUAUUGACCGGAGGCAUGUCUCGGUCAUGUCUACAUUGUUCUCGAACCCGUAGGGUCCGCACGCUUAAGGUUUCGAUGACAGUUAUAUUAUGAGUUUAUGAGUUUUGAUGUACCGAAGGAGUUCGGAGUCUCGGAUGAGAUCGGGGACAUGACGAGGAGUCUCGAAAUGGUCGAGACGUAAAGAUCGAUAUAUUGGAUGACUAUAUUCGGACAUCGGAAAGGUUCCGAGUGGUUCGGGUAUUUUUCGGAGUACUAGGGAGUUACGGGAAUACGGGGGAUGAAGUAUAUGGGCCUUAUUGGGCUUUAGAGGAGAGGGAGAGGCAGGCCGCGCGCCCCCCCCAUUGACUAGUCCGAAUUGGACUAGGGGGGGGGUGGCUCCCCCUCCUUCCUUCUCUUCCCUCUUCCCCUUCCUUAUCUCCUAAUCCUACUACUUGGAAGAACUCCUAGUUGUACUAGGAAAGGGGGAAUCCUACUCCCGGUGGGAGUAGGACUCCCCUAGGGCGCGCCAUAGAGAGGGCUGGCCCUCCCAUCCUCCACUCCUUUAUAUAAGGGGACAGGGGGCACCCCAAAGACACACAAGUUGAUCUUCGUGAUCAUUCUCUUAGCCGUGUACGGUGCCCCCCCUUCACCAUAAUCCUUGAUAAUACUGUAGAGGUGCUUAGGCGAAGCCCUACGGCGGUAGAACAUCAAGAUCGUCACCACGCCGUCGUGCUGACGGAACUCUUCCCCGACACUUUGCUGGAUCGGAGUCCGGGGAUCGUCAUCGAGCUGAACGUGUGCAAGAACUCGGAGGUGUCGUAGUUUCGGUGCUUGAUCAGUCGGGCCGUGAAGACGUACGACUACAUCAACCGUGUUGGCAUAACGCUUCCGCUGUCGGUCUACGAGGGUACGUAGAUUACACUCUCCCCUCUUGUUGCUAUGCAUCACCAUGAUCUUGCGUGUGCAUAGGGGAAUUUUUGAAAUUACUACGUUCUCCAACAGUGGUAUCAGAGCCUAGGUUUUAUGUGUUGAUGUUAUAUGCACGAGUAGAACACAAGUGAGUUGUGGGCGAUAUAAGUCAUACUGCUUACUACCAUGUCAUACUUUGGUUCGGCGGUAUUGUUGGAUGAAGCGGCCCAGACCGACAUUACGCGUACGCUUACGCGAGACUGGUUCUACCGACGUGCUUUGCACACAGGUGGCUGGCGGGUGUGAGUUUCUCCAACUUUAGUUGAACCGAGUGUGGCUACGCCCGGUCCUUGCGAAGGUUAAAACAACACCAACUUGACAAAUCGUUGUGGUUUUGAUACGUAGGUAAGAUUGGUUCUUGCUAAGCCCGUAGCAGCCACGUAAAAUUUGCAACAACAAAGUAGAGGACAUCUAACUUGUUUUUGCAGGGCAUGUUGUGAUGUGAUAUGGUCAAGACGUGAUGAGAUAUAAGUUCUUGUAUGAGAUGAUCAUGUUUUGUUGAAUUUAUCGGCAACUGGCAGAAGCCUUAUGGUUGUCUUUUUAUUGCAUAAGAUGCAAGCGCCAAAUAAUUGCUUUACUUUAUCGCUGUGCGAUAGCAAUAGUUGCAAGAGCAAUAGUUGGCGAGACGACCAUGUGACGACACAUUGAUAUAGAUCAAGAUGAUGGAGAUCAUGGUGUCAUGCCAGUGACGAUAGAGAUCAUGACGGUACUUUGGAGAUGGAGAACAAAGGCGCAAGAUGAUUAUGACCAUAUCAUGUCACAUAUAUUGAUUGCAUGUGAUGUUUAUCUUUUAUGCAUCUUAUCUUGCUUUGAUUGACGGUAGCUUUAUAAGAUGAUCUCUCACUAAAUUAUCAAGGUAUAAGUGUUCUCCCUGAGUAUGCACCAUUGCGAAAGUUCUUCGUGCUGAGACACCACGUGAUGAUCGGGUGUGAUAGGCUCUACGUUCAAAUACAACGGGUGCAAAACAGUUGCGCACGCGGAAUACUCAGGUUAAACUUGACGAGCCUAGCAUAUACAGAUAUGGCCUCGGAACACUGGAGAUCGAAAGGUCCAGCGUGAAUCAUAUAGUAGAUAUGAUCAACAUAGUGAUGUUCACCAUUGAAAACUACUCCAUCUCACGUGAUGAUCGGACAUGGUUUAGUUGAUUUGGAUCACGUGAUCACUCAGAUGAUUAGAGGGAUGUCUAUCUAAGUGGGAGUUCUUAAGUAAUAUGAUUAAUUGAACUUAAAUUUAUUAUGAACUUAGUCCUAGUAGUAUUUUGCAAAUUAUGUUGUAGAUCAAUAGCUCGCGUUGUUGCUUUCAUAUGUUUAUUUUGAUAUGUUCCUAGAGAAAAUUGUGUUGAAAGAUGUUAGUAGCAAUGAUGCGGAUUGGAUCCGUGAUCUGAGGUUUAUCCUCAUUGCUGCAUAAAAGAAUUAUGUCCUUGAUGCACCGCUAGGUGACAUACCUAUUGCAGGAGCAGAUGCAGACGUUAUGAACAUUUGGCUAGCUCAAUAUGAUGACUACUUGAUAGUUUAGUGCACCAUGCUUAACGGCUUAGAAUCGGGACUUCAAAGACAUUUUGAACGUCGAGGACCAUAUGAGAUGUUCCAGGAGUUGAAGUUAAUAUUUCAAGCAAAUACCCGAGUUGAGAGAUAUGAAGUCUCCAACAAGUUCUGUAGAUAAAAGAUGGAGGAGAAUCGCUCAACUAGUGAGCAUGUGCUUAGAUUGUCUGGGUACUACAAUCGCUUGAAUCAAGUGGGAGUUAAUCUUCCAGAUAAAAUAGUGAUUGACAGAAUUCUCUAGUCACCAUCACCAAGUUAGUAGAACUUCGUGAUGAACUAUGAUAUGCAAGGGAUAACAGAAACGAUUCCCAAGCUCUUUGUAAUGCUGAAAUUGACGAAGGUAGAAAUCGAGAAAAACAUCAAGUGUUGAUGGUAGACAACACCACUAGUUUCAAGAAAAGGGAAAAGGGAAAAAGGGGAACUUCAAGAAGAACAUCAAGCAAGUUGCUGCUCAAGUGAAGAAGCCCAAGUCUGGUCCUAAGCCUGAGACUAAGUGAUUCUACUGCAAAGGGACUUGUCACUGGAAGCGGAACUACCCCAAGUGAUUGGCGGAUAAGAAGGAUGGCAAAGUGAACAUAAGUAUAUUUGAUAUACAUGUUAUUAAUGUGUACUUUACUAGUGUUUAUAGCAACCCCUCAGUAUUUGAUACUAGUUCAGUUGCUAAGGUUAGUAACUCGAAAUGGGAGUUGCAGAAUAAAUAGAGACUAGUUUAGGGUGAAGUGACGAUGUGUGUUGGAAGUGGUUCCAAGAUUGGUAUGAUCAUCAUCGCACACUCCCUAUACUUUUGGUAUUAGUGUUGAAACUAAAUAUGUGUUAUUUGGUGUUUGCGUUGAGCAUAAAUAUGAUUGGAUCAUGUUUAUUGCAAUACAGUUAUUCAUGUAAGUUAGAGAAUAAUUGUUGUUCUGUUUACAUGAAUAAAACCUUCUAUGGUCAUACACCCAAUGAAAAUGGUUUGUUGGAUCUCGAUCGUGGUGAUACACAUAUUCAUAAUAUUGAAGCCAAAAGAUGCAAAGUUAAUAAUGAUAGUGCAACUUAUUUGUGGCACUGCCGUUUAGGUCAUAUUGGUGUAAAGCGCAUGAAGAAACUCCAUGCUGAUGGGUUUUUGGAAUCACUUGAUUAUGAAUCAGUUGAUGCUUGCGAACCAUGCCUCAUGGGCAAGAUGAUUAAGACUCCGUUCUCCGGAACAAUGGAGCGAGCAACAGAUUUGUUGGAAAUCAUACAUACUGAUGUAUGUGGUCCGAUGAAUGUUGAAGCUCACGGCGGGUAUCGUUAUUUUCUGACCUUCACAGAUGAUUUGAGCAGAUAUGGGUAUAUCUACUUGAUGAAACAUAAGUCUGAAACAUUUGAAAAGUUCAAAUAAUUUCAGGGUGAAGUGGAAACUCAUCGUGACAAGAAAAUAAGGUUUCUACGAUCUGAUCGCGGAGACAAAUAUUUUAGUUAUGAGUUUGGUCUUCAAUUAAAACAAUGUGGAAUAGUUUCACAAACUCAUGCCACCUGGAACACCACAGCAUAAUGCUGUGUCCGAAUGUCAUAACCGUACUUUAUUGGAUAUAGUGCAAUCUAUGAUGUUUCUUACCAAUUUACCAAUAUUGUUUUGGGAUUAUGCAUUAGAGACAACUGCAUUCACAUUAAAUAGGGCACCAUCUAAAUCUGUUGAGACGACACUAUAUGAACUAUGGUUUAGCAAGAAACCAAAGUUGUCGUUUCUUAAAGUUUGGGGUUGUGAUGCUUAUGUGAAAAAGUUUCAUCCUGAUAAGCUCAAACCCAAAUCAGAGAAAUGCGUCUUCAUAGGAUACCCAAAGGAGACAGUUGGGUACACCUUCUAUCACAGAUCCGAAGGCAAGAUAUUCGUUGCUUAGAAUGGAUCCUUUCUAGAGAAGGAGUUUCUCUCAAAAGAAGUGAGUGGGAGGAAAGUAGAACUUGAUGAAGUAACUGUACCCGCUCCCUUAUUGGAAAGUAGUUCAUCACAGAAAUAUGUUCCUGUGACUACUACACCAAUUAGUGAGGAAGCUAAUGAUGAUGAUCAUGUAACUUCAGAUCAAGUUGCUACCGAACCUCGUAGGUAAACCAGAGUGAGAUCCGCACCAGAGUGGUACAGUAAUCCUAUUCUGGAGGUCAUGUUACUUGACCAUGACGAGCCCACGAACUAUGAGGAAGCGAUGAUGAGCCCAGAUCCCGCGAAAUGGCUUGAGGCCAUGAAAUCUGAGAUGAGAUCCAUGUAUGAGAACAAAGUAUGGACUUUGAUUGACUUGCCCAUUGAUAGGUGAGCCAUUAAGAUUAAAUGGAUUUUCAAGAGGAAGAUGGACGCUGAUAGUAGUGUUACUAUCUACAAAGCUAGAAUUGUCGCAAAAAGGUUUUUCGACAAAUUCAAGGUGUUGACUACGAUGAGAGUUUCUCACUCGUAACUAUGCUUAAGUCUGUCCGAAUCAUGUUAGAAAUUGCCACAUUUUAUGAAAUCUGGCAAAUGGAUAAACAAAACUGCAUUCCUUAAUGGAUUUAUUAAAGAAGAGUUGUAUAUGAUGCAACCGGGAGGUUUUGUCAAUCCUAAAGGUACUAACAAAAUAUGCAAGCUCCAGCGAUCCAUCUAUGGACUGGUGCAAGCAUCUCGGAGUUGGAAUAUACGCUUUGAUAAGUUGAUCAAAGCAUAUAGUUUUAUACAGACUUACGUUGAAGCCUGUAUUUACAAGAAAGUGAGUGGGAGCACUACAGCACUUCUGAUAAGUAUAUGUGAAUAACAUAUUGUUGAUCGGAGAUAAUGUAGAAUUAUUCUGCAAAGCAUAAAGGAGUGUUUGAAAGGAGUUUUUCAAAGAAAGACCUCGGUGAAGCUGCUUACAUAUUGAGCAUCAAGAUCUAUAGAGAUAGAUCAAGACGCUUGAUAAGUUUUUUCAAUGAGUACAUACCUUGACAAGAUUUUGAAGUAGUUCAAAAUGGAACAGUCAAAGAAAGAGUUAUUGCCUGUGUUACAAGGUGUGAAAUAGAGUAAGACUCAAAGCCCGACCACGGCAGAAGAUAGAAAGAGAAUGAAAGUCAUUCCCUAUGCCUCAGCCAUAGGUUCUAUAAAGUAUGACAUGCUAUGUACCAGAUCUAUUGUAUACCCUACACUGAUUUUGGCAAGGGAGUACAAUAGCGAUCUAGGAGUAGUCACUAGACAUCGGUCAAAAUUAUCCUUAGUGGAAUAAGGAUAUGUUUCUCGAUUAUGGAGGUGACAAAAGGUUCGUCGUAAAAGGAUUACGUUGAUACAAGUUUUUGGCACUGAUCUGGAUGGCUCUAAGUCUUCAUCUGGAUACAUAUUGAAAGUGGGAGCAAUUGGUUAAAGUAGAUCCAUGCAGAGCAUUGUAGACAUAGAAAUUUGCAAAAUACAUACGGAUCUGAAUUUUGGCAGACUCGUUGACUAAGCUUCUCUCACAAGCAAAACAUGAUCACACCUUAGUACUCUUUGGGUGUUAAUCACAUAUAGAUGUGAACUAGAUUAUUGACUCUAGUAAACCCUUUGAGUGUUGGUCACAUAAUGAUGUGAACUAUUGGUGUUAAAUCACAUGGCAAUGUGAACUAGAUUAUUGACUCUAGUGCAAGUGGGAGACUGAAGGAAAUAUGCCCUAGAGGCAAUAAUAAAGUUAUUAUUUAUUUCCUUAUUUCAUGAUAAAUGUUUAUUAUUCAUGCUAGAAUUGUAUUAACCGGAAACAUAAUACAUGUGUGAAUACAUAGACAAACAGAGUGUCACUAGUAUGCCUCUACUUGACUAGCUCGUUAAUCAAAGAUGGUUAUGUUUCCUAACCAUAGACAAAGAGUUGUUAUUUGAUUAACGGGAUCACAUCACUAGGAGAAUGAUCUGAUUGACAUGACCCAUUUCAUUAGCUUAGCACCCGAUCAUUUAGUAUGUUGCUAUUGCUUUCUUCAUGACUUAUACAUGUUCUUAUGACUAUGAGAUUAUGCAACUCCCGUUUACCGGAGGAACACUUUGUGUGCUACCAAACGUCACAAUGUAACUGGGUGAUUAUGAAGGAGCUCUACAGGUGUCUCCAAAGGUACAUGUUGGGUUGGCGUAUUUCGAGAUUAGGAUUUGUCAUUCUGAUUGUCGGAGAGGUAUCUUUGGUCCCUCUCGGUAAUGCACAUCACAUAAGCCUUGCAAGCAUUGCAACUAAUGAGUUAGUUGCGAGAUGAUGUAUUACGGAACGAGUAAAGAGACUUGCCGGUAACGAGAUUGAACUAGGUACUAAGAUACCGACGAUCGAAUCUCGGGCAAGUAAGAUACCGAUGACAAAGGGAACAACGUAUGUUGUUAUGCGGUCUGACCGAUAAAGAUCUUCGUAGAAUAUGUAGGAGACAAUAUGAGCAUCCAGGUUCCUCUAUUGGUUAUUGACCGGAGACAUGUCUCAGUCAUGUCUACAUUGUUCUCGAACCCAUAGGGUCCGCACGCUUAAGGUUUCGAUGACAGUUAUAUUAUGAGUUUAUGAGUUUUGAUGUACCGAAGGAGUUCGGAGUCCCGGAUGAGAUCGGGGACAUGACAAGGAGUCUCGAAAUGGUCGAGACAUAAAGGUCGAUAUAUUGGAUGACUAUAUUCGGACAUCAGAAAGGUUUUGAGUGGUUCGGGUAUUUUUCGGAGUAUCGGGGAGUUACGGGAAUACGGGGGAAGAAGUAUAUGGGCCUUAUUGGGCUUUAGGGGAGAGGGAGAGGCAGCCCCCCCCCCCCAUUGACUAGUACGAAUUGGACUAGGGGGAGGGGCGGCGCCCCCUCCUUCCUUCUCUUCCCUCUUCCCCUUCCUUGUCUCCUAAUCCUACUACUUGGAAGAACUCCUAGUUGUACUAGGAAAGGGGGAAUCCUACUCCCGGUGGGAGUAGGACUCCCCUAGGGCGCGCCAUAGAGAGGGCCGGCCCUCCCCUCCUCCACUCCUUUAUAUACGGGGACAGGGGGCACCCCAAAGACACACAGGUUGAUCUUCGCGAUCGUUCUCUUAGACGUGUACGGUGCCCCCCUCCACCAUAAUCCUCGAUAAUAUUGUAGCGGUGCUUAGGCGAAGCCCUGCGACGGUAGAACAUCAAGAUCGUCACCAUGUCGUCGUGCUUACGGAACUCUUCCCCGACACUUUGCUGGAUCGGAGUCCGGGAUCGUCAUCGAGCUGAACGUGUGCAAGAACUCGGAGGUGUCGUAGUUUCGGUGCUUGAUCGGUCGGGCCAUGAAGACGUACGACUACAUCAACCGCGUUGUCAUAACGCUUCCGCUGUCGGUCUAUGAGGGUACGUAGAUUACACUCUCCCCUCUUGUUGCUAUGCAUCACCAUGAUCUUGCGUGUGCGUAGGGAAAUUUUUGAAAUUACUACAUUCUCCAACACUUCCUCCAUUACCAUUACCAUUCCUGGGGCCAUUGUGAUUGUGUGAGCUACCUCCUCCAUGUGUAUGCUGAAAAUGUCCUCCCGGUCUAGGGGUAAAUCGUGGCUUCUGCUGAGCUCCUGAAUUGUACUUUCCUUGUCCAUACUUCCUCUUGCGAUUCUCAAUUUGCUGCUGCUUCCCUUCAAUCAUAAGAGCACGAUCUACCAACUCCUGGUAGUUGUUGAAGGUUGCUACCAUCAACUGCAUGCUCAACUCAUCAUUCAGUCCUUCCAGAAACUUCUCCUGCUUAGCUGCAUCCGUAGCAACGUCAUCUAGGGCAUAACGUGCUAAUUUACUAAAGUCCUCCACAUACUGGCCAACUGUCCGUCCUCCUUGGCGCAAGUUGCGAAACUCUCGCUUCUUCAUGGCCAUAGCUCCUGCUGAAACAUGGGCAGUUCGAAAAGCCUGCUGAAACUAGUCCCAUGUGACAGUGUCGACAGGGAAAGUGGCUGUGAAAUUCUCCCACCAUGAUGUUGCGGGUCCUUCAAGAUGAUGUGCGGCAAACUUCACCUUCUCCGCAUCCGUGCAUCCUGCUGUGGUCAACUCUCUAGCUGUCUUGUGGAGCCAAUCAUCUGCUACUAUCGGCUCGGUGCUACUGGAAAACACCGGCGGAUUCAGCCUAAGAAAACGGGCUAAGUGAUCAACAGGUGGUGGUGGUGGUGGGUUGUUGUUGUUGUUCCCCUGAUUUUGAUUCUGGACUAGCAACUGCAUCAAUGUGUUCUCCUGCUAGAUCAACUGAGUGAGCUCCGGUGGAAAGGUAAAUCCGGGGUCACGUCUCGGAGGCAUCUGAGGGUUUAGAAAAGAUGAGAUUUAAGAAUAGAGGGGGUAUAAAGAGAAAACACUACCCAUAUGCACAUGAGGUAAAAGCAAACAGUUCACUUCAUUCAAUCAAACAAGGGCAUACAAUCGAUCUAACUAUCGCAAAAGUGCUCGGACUAUUGUAUUUACAUGGUGGACUACUACUACUGAUGAGGUGGUCUACUAGAAAUAUUCUUCGGUUGCAGACUCCAUGAUAUCUGCUCCGACUUCAUCAACAUAGUCAUCAUCGCUAUCAUCUGGAUCUGAGUCGGUGUCGUCGAUGAUGAUGUAGUCUUCCGGGUGAAUCUCCUUGGGUUCUUCGUCUUCAUCUACUGGUGUAGGGCCUCCCAUAAAUAUCCCGAUCUUCAUUGUUAGGUCGGCAUUCUUAUCCACUAAUACUUCAAUUUCUUCUUCAAAAUCUUCACGUGUAGCCUUGAGUUCUUCCUCCAGUUCCUUGAUUCUUGUCCUUGCCUUCUUCAGGUCUAUCAUGUCGGCGCACAUCUGGUUCUCCUGACGUCGAAUGUGCUGGUUUAAUUCCUGGAUAAAAGCUGCAAUUGAUCUAUCCUUUCUGGUGUUGAUCAUCUCCCAGUGCUCAUCUCGGCGCCCACAAAUCUGGUAGAUAGUAUCCUUGAGAUCAUUGCGGUAGACUUCUCCAAUGCGUCCCAUGGCGAUGUGAGCUGCCAUGCUCUUUCCUAGACUCCAAGUUGGUGCAUCAAAAGAAAACUCUAUGGGCUCAGUGACUGGCAUGAACGUCCUUCCUCGAACUUGAACUUGAAUCAUCCAGGGCUCUUCUUCAGGUAAAGUGGCAUUGUAGGUUCCGGUGAAGCUUGGUACUCCUAUGUUUAGAUAUCUAAUGACUUCCUUCAAGUGACGUCCAAAGAGUGUAUCUUCAUCCAGUUGCGUGAACUUGUUCCUUGCAUCCGCCAUCCCAAAGAGUAGAAAAGAUGAGAGGUCAGAAGAGAAGAGAGUGAGUAGUGAUCUAGGUCUUUAGCUUAGUGGUCGUGUCCUACAGUCAGCGUGUGCUUUGAUACCAUCUUGUAGCGACCAGACCUCAAACGGUCCAAUCUCUGUGCUCCGGUGUCAUCCCUGGAUCAGUAAUGCUGACACCACAUAGUACUUGAAGAAUUUAUAAUAGAGUAGCAAUCACACACUUAUUACAUCGAGUGUCUCAAUAGAGAACUUAUUACAAUAAAUAUGGCUUAAGGCCAUCUAAUAAUGAUAACAGCGGAAGGCUUAGAAGAUAAGUGAGUCCAUCAACUCCAACGGCAUCACUGAGUAUAGAACCACGACCUAAAACUCCUUAAUCGUCGUCUGAAAAGCCUGCAACAUUAACGUUGCAGCCCGAAAACGGGUCAGCACAUGGAAUAUGCUGGCAAGGUAACACAUAGAGAGUAGUGGAAUGAAACAACUAUAUUAUAUGCAUAUUUGGCUGGUGGAAAGCUCUAUGGUUACAGUUUUGCAAAAAGCCAAUUUUUCCCUACUACAAAGGAAUAAAUUUAUUUAACUAUCAUGGUGGUUGUUAAACAUUGAGAAUGGUUGACAGCAUUCUCAAUCCCAAUUAAACAUCAUUAAACAAACCCGUCAAACUUAAUUUUAUAGUAACAUGUUGAGAUUCACAUGAUAAUCCAAGUACUAGAUACUCAAGAUGUCCAUGACUAGGGACACGGCUAACCAUGAUUAGUUUAUACACUCUGCAGAGGUUUGCGCACUUUUCCCCACAAGACUCGAUCUCCUCCGUUGGAUUUCUCGCACUACAGGGUGUUUGAGAAACGGAUGACCGAGACAUAGUCUUUUAGAAGCGCUAGCACCUUACGAUCGGGUAGAUCGUACCACCUACAUCCCCUACAUCUGCUAGUCUACCACUGUAAGAGUUCGCACGACUUAGUCAACUAUGUUAGAGCCCAUAAUAGCUUGUGGCUGCACACGGAAGCUUCUAGCAUGAAUAAUCUCAUGAUCUCUUUGAGCCUGGGUGGCGGUCCAAAAGAAAACAGGCAAUCCUGGAAUACCCAGGUACCUCAAUCCACCCAGAUGUGUAUUUAAGUUUCCACCUUAGAUAAACCAUUGAUUUAAAAGAAAUCUCACAUCUGUCAUGGAUAUCACUCACCCAAUCCACGUCUACUAGCAUAGCAUAGCAAUAGUAAGCAAAUGUAGAAGUAACUCCCAAGGUUUGAUAAUAAACAGGUAAUAGGUACUACCUCAACUACAUCCCAAACCCACAAUUUAAUUAGAUCCUAAUCAUGCAAUGUGUAGAGAUUGAUCUAAUGCAAUAAAACUGGGUAGUAAAAGGUAUGAUCAAAGUGUUACUUGCCUUGCUGAUGAUCCGGGAAACCUAGUGAUUCGAAGUAACAAGCGGCACACUCCGGGUACUCUAUCGCAAACAAACAAGCAUACAAUAAGUACUCAAAUAAUGCACAUGUAAAACUUAAAUAAGAGAUCUAACUAGAAAGUUCAACUUAACAACUCCGGUUGGCAAAAAGAAUCAAAUCAAACGAAGCAAUGAAAGACAAACGGCAAAAGAAAAAGGCUUUGAUUACUAUUCUGGACCUAGGGCAAUUUUUACAGAAACAAAAACUUGUUUAAGUUGGUUUAACGGAAAUAGGGUUUCGAGACGAAACUCCAGGCGCUUGAAUCGCCUGAUUCCGAUAAACGAGUGAAAAGUUAUACUAAAACGAAAGUCGGAUCAGAAAUCGCGAUCAGAAAAAUCGCAAAUUUAAUCCGAGAAAAAGAAAACGACGAACAGUUUAACGAACGAAUGUUCGUUAACUGGAUCUAAACGACGAACACGUUCGUUAAAACGAACGAACGAGCAAACGCUCACUAAAUAGACUAAACCGAAAAUAAAACCGAUCUAAUAAAAAAACAAAAUCUAAAAAGAACCGCGGCUUUUAAAAAAAUCAGGCGGUUUUCUAAAAAAACCCGGCAACGGCGGCUACCUCGGGCGGCGGGGCGGCUCCGGCGAGCGGGCNNNNNNNNNNNNNNNNNNNNNNNNNNNNNNNNNNNNNNNNNNNNNNNNNNNNNNNNNNNNNNNNNNNNNNNNNNNNNNNNNNNNNNNNNNNNNNNNNNNNNNNNNNNNNNNNNNNNNNNNNNNNNNNNNNNNNNNNNNNNNNNNNNNNNNNNNNNNNNNNNNNNNNNNNNNNNNNNNNNNNNNNNNNNNNNNNNNNNNNNNNNNNNNNNNNNNNNNNNNNNNNNNNNNNNNNNNNNNNNNNNNNNNNNNNNNNNNNNNNNNNNNNNNNNNNNNNNNNNNNNNNNNNNNNNNNNNNNNNNNNNNNNNNNNNNNNNNNNNNNNNNNNNNNNNNNNNNNNNNNNNNNNNNNNNNNNNNNNNNNNNNNNNNNNNNNNNNNNNNNNNNNNNNNNNNNNNNNNNNNNNNNNNNNNNNNNNNNNNNNNNNNNNNNNNNNNNNNNNNNNNNNNNNNNNNNNNNNNNNNNNNNNNNNNNNNNNNNNNNNNNNNNNNNNNNNNNNNNGGUUAGGGCGCGGGUGGGCUGGUGGGCUGCGGCGGGGCUCGGGCGGCGCUAUUUAAAGGCUGCCCCGGGCGGAGUCCCGCUCGGGUACGGCCCGGAGUCAGUUCGGACUCUUUUUUUUGAAAUUAAUUCCGCACAGAAAACAAAUAAUAGAAAUACAAAACGGACUCCAAAAAUCCUGAAAUAAAUUUCCCCGGCUUCUAAAAUCAGGCCGCACAGGAUGAACAUUUAUUUGGGGCCUAAAUGCAAUUUUGAAAAACACGUAUUUUUCCUAAAUUCAAAUAAAAUAGCAAAUAAAACCAAAAAAUCUUAUUUGAUUUUUUAUUAAAUCCUCAAUAUUUCCUUAUUUUGGGAAAGUCAUUUUAUUGCCUCUCUCAUAUUUUUGUAAUAGAAAUUAUUGAAGAUAAAAUAAAUAAAAUCAAAUGAUCCUAUUUUCAAAGUUUGAGACAACUCAAAUAUGAAAAUAACGAAAUCCCCAACUCUCUCCGAGGAUCCUUGAGUUGCGAAAAAUUUCUAGGAUCAACCAAAAUGCAAUAAAUAUGAUAUGCAAUGAUGUCUAGUGUAUAACAUUCCAAAUUGAAAAUUUGGGAUGUUACAACCUCGAACUCAUGGUCAUCAAAGUGCAUGUCAGUUGGAGCCAACACCCAUAGUUGACAUGUAUGCAUCAUCGUUGAGACUACAAAAUAUAUAGAACAAUGCGAAUAAGCUAUCUAUAUCAAUGCAUUCAAGAAAUAACAAGAAAAAAAGGUUGGGGAAAUUUUCUACCUUUGGGGCAUAUCCUCGAACACGUUGUGCGCAUCGGCCGCCAGCUCAAUGAGUGAGCUCGUCGGCGCUUCGGUAGCCCCCGUGCCCGUCACAUGCCCUGCAAGUUUCUUCCUCGACGCCUUCGAGGUGUCGGAGCCGUCCGCCGCCUUAUUCUUCUUUGCGGAUGUCUUGCCCUUCUUCGGCUGCGCCGCAUUUGGGAGCUUCGAGGGGGGGGGCACGGGGCGGCGCCGGCGCGACGCGACCCACCAUCGAGGUCAUCCGCGGCGGCAUGAAGGGCCGCGUGUGAGGCCGAUGCUCGGAGGAGCUCCGGCGGAGGCGAGGCCAACGCUCCCCGCGCUAGGGUUUGUGGCGGCGGCGACGAUGGAAGGGUCGCGGAUGUAGGAUGCGGUGAGCGGGGUGCCGGCGCGUGCGCCCAUCGGGUCCAGCUCGCCGGCGCCGGCGCGCGCGUGGCGAAGGUGACGCGGAGGAGAGAGUGCGGUGCGAGCGCUGGUGUGUGCCGCGCGCGGAAGUGGGCGCCCUAAAUACACAACGCGCGUUGACGGUUCGGACAGCGCGCCCGACUCCAUACGCCGCGCGCGCGGUUAUUGCGCCCGCUGGAGCCACUCUAUCAGUUGCGCGCACGUUAAAAUGACCAAAUUUACGGCACGACGUUUGUUUAACACGGUUGUUGAAUAUGCUCUCAGGUAGCUAGGGCCAUAGCACAUGACGCUACGACGUCCAUCCGCAUGCCGCACCCCCAGUUAGCGUGAGUUGUCCCCACAUGUCAAUCAGUCACUGCAUGGUCGAAUGAGGUGUGUUUGGUAGGGCGUAUGAGGGGUGCAUGAGAGCAAAAGUUCCCUUCUCGACCCACUUUUGAGUGUUUGGUAGAGUAUGAAGGGUGCAUGAGUCCACACUAGUUUAGCACAAAUACACUAAAAGCAUGCAUGAGGAGAGCAUGCAUGAGGAGGGAUGUUGAGGUGAGCAUGCAUAAAGAGAGAACAACUAUGCUGAGAUGAGAACGCAACCAAACACACCCUAUUUUUCCGUCUGAGGUGCGGUGCAUAGCUCGCAGCAGAUCGGUACUGCUUUUUCACGGUACUUUCUAUGAGAGGGUACCUUGUGAACGAUUAUUUGUUGUUAGAAAUUCAACACUGAGUGAAGCGGCCAGGAAAGAGAUAACUAGCAUUUAGUGGAUGAAGCGAAGGCUGGUCGUCUUGUACAGUCUGGAGACAAAUCCAGUCUCCGGGGUCCUACUUUGUUCUCCGGAAUCAUUAGCCAUUCGGAGCUACGCGCCAGAGCCAGAGUCACAAUCAAAUCAUCAAUUAGAGGCUCACGUUCCAUCAACAAAACAAUAAAGGAAUACCUAAAACUCAUCUAGAUGAGAUAUAAUUUAAUCUUAUUUAUUUUAAAAAUUAGAACAGAUACAAUCCAUGUCAGCACACACGCAUCUUAAAGCAUCACAUCCAAUGGCUAUAAAAGAUGAAUGAGACCAAAUUAUAUCUCAUCUAGAUGAGUUCUAGCAAAACUGAAACAAUAACCCACUCCUAAGCAUGGCCCGGCAUAGCUUUGUUUGCGAGUGCAUCCAUGCCGCUGCAUGGCAAACUGUCAUGGCUAAUAAACAGUGAUGUCCGGCUACCCAGUGCAAAUCUACAGUAAGGAUCACACUGUCAGCUACUACAUGGACGUAACGUACGUACAGUUCUGCCACAGUUGUGACGGUAACACGUAUCAAACCCGAUCGGGACCCGAGCUGUUUGGGUUUUACGAGUAGUCGUGGACAAUCUCGUCCGACUCCACGCGGCGGCGACGCCGUUGCUGGAUCACAGAGCCAUGCAUCACGUACGCCAGCCAUUCAUGCAGCCGGCCGUGGUCGACGACGCCCCACUCCUCCGUGGCCGGGCAGCUGCCAGGCCAACAGAAAACCCACGGCGCUGCCCGUGUGCGGUGGCCGUGGCACGCGCUGCCUCAUUCCCGCCGCUCCGACAGACAGACCGGCCGCCGUGCCGUAGUCAUCGCCGACUGCGCACGGACGCAUCGCGCGCAAGUAGGAGAGGCAAUGAUAGAUGGGUGCUGUUGCCGGUAUCAGCGUACGCCUGCACGCCGCUAUCUGGUCCAGCAUCUGAAGAAGGCGUCGCAAUUGUUAAUUAGCGCAGCUGUACUGCCGCGCGCAGCCGAUGCCUCUGUCCGUAUCUGCUAAUCCGCCGACGGGACCACGACAAGCAUGGCCAUUUAAGCAAAGCUAUUCGGGGGUGUGCACAACAAAAUUUGGACUUGAGCAAUCGGUUGCGAGACCACGGAGCAAUGCGACGGGACGACGCGCGGCGACGUCUCAAAAGGAUAAGGACGGCCGGCGAGGUCGCACGGUGCUAGGUGUAGCACACAGACACAGGCCGUGCGCAUCAAAGGAGGAAAUGUCAGACGUAAAUAAAUGCCAAACUGAGUGGUGGCUUUUAUUGGUUUUAUUUUGGGCACCCUUGGAGAGAAGUGAUAGCCUGCAUCGAUGGAGAACUGUACAUGGAGUGGCCCUAGCUAUCCUAGUGAGCGAGGGUGCAGGACAUUGGAUUCCUUUCCAGCCCCGGCGCCCAUGAACGCGGAUACGGCUCGUGUUAAGCGGGGGCUACUCUGACACUCACGCUAUCUAGAUCUACACAAGUGAAUGAUCCGAAAAUGCCUUUUGGAGCUCGGCCUACAUGGAGGUCGGUUUUUGAAAAACACAAAAAUCAUAAAAAUUCAUUCAAAAAAAUCUGAAAAAAAUUACAGAUAUACAUGGAGGCAUAACACACAUGUGUGUAAAUUUUUAGGACGAAAUACGUUGAAAUGAAGGCUGUGCAAAAAAGACAAAUCUGAGGCCUUUUAACACAUGUUACUAUUCAUCCUCAAAGUCCAGAAAUUUGUCUUUUUCUAUAGGUCGCGUUUCGAAGUAUUUCAUCUUGAAUUUUUACACACACAUGCAUUUCAUCCGUGUAUAGUUACAUAUUUAUUUUGAGAAUUUUUUGAAGUCAAAAAGUUUGAAUUUUGAAUUUUUCAAAAAUAAAGGGCUUCAUGGAGCUCGGUCACCAAAACUGAAUGAUCCAGCAAUGUUGCCGAAAUUAACGAGUCCCAUGCGUAGCUCUGCGUCGUAGUACUACCACUACCUCUUAGGCUGAGCGGCUGACACGCAUGGCCCCGGUACACACACGAGGUACGUACUAGCAAGAAAACACCAGGGAUCACGGACUAGGCUGGCUAGGCGGUACUGGACGGGGGGCUUAACAACAGGCGGCGCCGUAGUGAUCCCCGUUCCCGAAUCAAUGCGUGGCAGGCAAUAACUAGGUGAUCGUAUGUACACACGCGUCGUGGUACGCCAGUCAGUAGCUGCGGUCACGUACCUCUCGUGUACAUACUCGGGGCAAGUCUGCAUGCAUACUACCACUACCAGGAGGUAUGACUCGUAUGAGUAGCCACGCCCUGCGCCAAAUGGCAAGCAUGCCAUGCCCGGCGCACACGCACACCGUGGUGACCAGUCCUCAGGCCGUCACGCGGCACGGUGGCAGGGCGUCCUCCCCGCCGCGCGGCGCGGCGCCAUCCCCACGCGCGUGGGCGAGUGACCACACAAUCGCGCGCCGGGACAAACCCACGGACACUCCACGUAAAGAUUAGCCAGCCAGCCGCGGGCACCGGGCCAGAGCACGCCCAGACUGCGCUGCGUCCGUCCACGGCCCGCCUCCUCUCCUCCCUCCACGCCUUUCGCGGCGACCGAGACGCCUCAAGGCAAGGCCCCCAUGCCGCCGACGCGACGGGCGGACGGGACGGCACGGAGGCGAGCACGCCGCGCCGCGCCAAGCCCGGCGGGACGCCUCGGAGCGGACAGAAAGAGGACGGGCCGUGCCGCGCAGUGCGUCGUCGACCGGCACAAAAGGCAGCGGAUUUCGGUCGACGGCGACGCGCGGUGUCGCACACGCCUCGCCUUUCUCGAGCCGGAACAGAGCCCGGCCCGGGCGUGCGUGCAGAAUCGGCUGGGAAAGCGCGGCCGCGUAUCAGCCUUUCUCCGUCCUGCUCCAUGGUUUUCCCCGAAUUCCACGGGACAGCAGCCUCGUGCUAAAGCUGCCCCGUCCGACAAACCCCUCUUUUCUCAGCGACCUUGUGUUUACACAAGCCACACCCUUGCACUGUCGCUGCUCGGCCCAGACCAGUCGCAUUACACACGAAAAGAUGUGAAAAUUCGAAUGAAAUGCCAACUUCUAGCAAGAAGUUUACUAGAAAAGCGACUUCACAUUGGGGGCACGGAAAUAUUUUACAUGCAUACUACUCGUACUAGCACCGCCAGAUUAUUGCAUCCAGACGGUGGCGAGGGGAUACGCUAGGAGUUCAUCGCGGCCGAAAAGACAAGCUUUUUGCCACGUUAAGACAAGAGAGUAGAGCGCACACGUAUGCACGCACGUUUUCUUAAUCCGGCAUCAUGAUGCGAGUACCAACUAAUAGUAGUAUUAAAAAUGCUACUAGCAUCUAGGCUAAGAUUUGAUUGAGUACGGCGAUCGCCACUCCGGGGUCCGGACGGCCCGGC
This 41112-nucleotide long non-coding RNA is filed under the name Triticum aestivum (bread wheat). Its description in RNAcentral is "long non-coding RNA (TAES_LNC025358)". Lineage: Eukaryota; Viridiplantae; Streptophyta; Magnoliopsida; Poales; Poaceae. The record is from RNAcentral.